RNAcentral lists this transfer RNA (69 nucleotides) under Ninus insignis. RNAcentral describes it as "tRNA-Ser". The record is from RNAcentral. Lineage: Eukaryota; Metazoa; Arthropoda; Insecta; Hemiptera; Ninidae.
AAGGGAAAGUUGUAUCUAAAGGAAGCUGCUAACUAUCCUUUAAAGCGGUUAAAAUCCGUUUUUCUCUUU